AUUGAACGCUGGCGGCAUGCCUUACACAUGCAAGUCGAACGGCAGCACGGGAGCAAUCCUGGUGGCGAGUGGCGAACGGGUGAGUAAUGUAUCGGAACGUGCCCAGUCGUGGGGGAUAACGUAGCGAAAGUUACGCUAAUACCGCAUACGAUCUAUGGAUGAAAGCAGGGGAUCGCAAGACCUUGCGCGAUUGGAGCGGCCGAUAUCAGAUUAGGUAGUUGGUGGGGUAAAAGCUUACCAAGCCUACGAUCUGUAGCUGGUCUGAGAGGACGACCAGCCACACUGGGACUGAGACACGGCCCAGACUCCUACGGGAGGCAGCAGUGGGGAAUUUUGGACAAUGGGCGAAAGCCUGAUCCAGCCAUGCCGCGUGCAGGAUGAAGGCCUUCGGGUUGUAAACUGCUUUUGUACGGAACGAAACGGCCUUUUCUAAUACAGGAGGCUAAUGACGGUACCGUAAGAAUAAGCACCGGCUAACUACGUGCCAGCAGCCGCAGUAA
Molecule: ribosomal RNA, 500 nt
Filed under: uncultured bacterium
Lineage: Bacteria
Description: partial 16S ribosomal RNA
Rfam family: Bacterial small subunit ribosomal RNA
Source: RNAcentral